RNAcentral lists this ribosomal RNA (158 nucleotides) under Sphenodon punctatus (tuatara). RNAcentral's name for it is "5.8S ribosomal RNA (ENSSPUG00000017519.1)". The stretch from base 1 to 141 matches the Rfam family "5.8S ribosomal RNA". Rfam says of the family: 5.8S ribosomal RNA (5.8S rRNA) is a component of the large subunit of the eukaryotic ribosome. It is transcribed by RNA polymerase I as part of the 45S precursor that also contains 18S and 28S rRNA. The record is from RNAcentral. Lineage: Eukaryota; Metazoa; Chordata; Lepidosauria; Sphenodontia; Sphenodontidae.
AACUCUUAGCAGUGGAUCACUCAGCUCAUGCUUCAAUGAAGAACACAGCUAGCUGCAAGAAUUAAUGUGAAUUUCAGGACACAUUGAUUAUCAACACUUUGAACACACUUGCGGCCCCGGGUUCUUCCCUGUCUGAGGUCAAUCGCCCUGCCAUGCCA